Oncorhynchus tshawytscha (Chinook salmon) is the source of this 309-nucleotide long non-coding RNA. The record is from Ensembl. NCBI's taxonomy places the organism in Eukaryota, Metazoa, Chordata, Actinopteri, Salmoniformes, Salmonidae.
AUGGGGGAGUGAUUGCUUCCUACAAGAUCUCAAAAUGUGUGCAUUUCUAGACAUCUUUGAAAGGCAGGUCAGUAAGUGUCAUGAAAACACAGGAGAUUGAUGUGUUGCGGGCCCUCUGGAAAGUCCCGAAAUAUGCCCCUGAGCCGUGUUGGUGAAGGAAGCAAAGCAUGUAUAUAGAUCUGAGCCAUCAGACGACUCUUCAAGAAGGCCACUACGCUCCAGAUCACCAUCUGUGCUCAGGGGUCCUCGAUGAGGAUCUACCCCAUCACACCACUCGUAUUAAUCAUUAAUCAAAUAAAACAAUGGGCC